RNAcentral lists this ribosomal RNA (253 nucleotides) under uncultured bacterium. Its description in RNAcentral is "partial 16S ribosomal RNA". It matches the Rfam family "Bacterial small subunit ribosomal RNA", at positions 524 to 776 of the family's 1533-position model. The record is from RNAcentral.
GACGGAGGAUGCAAGCGUUAUCCGGAAUGAUUGGGCGUAAAGCGUCCGCAGGUGGCAGUUCAAGUCUGCUGUCAAAGACCGGGGCUUAACUUCGGAAAGGCAGUGGAAACUGAACAGCUAGAGUAUGGUAGGGGCAGAGGGAAUUCCUGGUGUAGCGGUGAAAUGCGUAGAGAUCAGGAGGAACACCGGUGGCGAAGGCGGCAUCCUGGACCGGCAUUGACGCUGAGGCGCGAAAGCCAGGGGAGCAAACGGG